UAAAGGUUUGGUCCUGGCCUUUUUAUUGGCUCCUAGUAAGCUUACACAUGCAAAUAUCCAUGUCCCGGUGAAAAUGCCCUCCAUAUCAACAUGAUCAAAAGGAGCAGGUAUCAAGCUCACUAAACCUAGUUGCUCAUGACACCUUGUACAACCACACCCCCACGGGAUACAGCAGUGAUUAAGAUUAAGCUCAUGAACGAAAGUUCGACUAAGUUAUACUAUCUAGGGUUGGUAAAUUUCGUGCCAGCCACCGCGGUCAUACGAUUAACCCUAGUCAAUAAAAUACGGCGUAAAGCGUGAUUAAAAUAGCAAACUUAAUAAGACCAAGCUUAAGCCAAGCUGUAAAAAGCCCUCGCUGUAAUAAAGAUAAAUAACGAAAGUAGUCUUAAAAGUUUUGAAUUCACGAUAGCUAAGAUCCAAACUGGGAUUAGAUACCCCACUAUGCUUAGCCCUAAACCUAGAUACUCAAAUAACAAGAUUAUCCGCCAGAGUACUACUGGCCACAGCUUAAAACUCAAAGGACUUGGCGGUGCUUUACAUCCCUCUAGAGGAGCCUGUUCUAUAAUCGAUAAACCCCGAUACACCUUACCACCUUUAGCAAACAUCAGCCUAUAUACCGCCAUCUUCAGCAAACCUUAACAAAGCCUCACAGUAAGCACAAUAAUAUGAUAUAAAUACGUUAGGUCAAGGUGUAGCCCAUAAGGUGGAAAGAAAUGGGCUACAUUUUCUACCUUCUAGGAACAACCCCUACGAUAGCUUUUAUUGAAACUAAAAGCCCAAGGGCGGAUUUAGUAGUAAGUUAAGAAUAGAGAGCUUAGCUGAAUAGGGCAAUAAAGCACGCACACACCGCCCGUCACCCUCUUCAAGUCCUACGCACAGAUAACCCAUACCUAAUUACAUCUUACUAGUAGUAUGAGAAGAGAUAAGUCGUAACAAGGUAAACAUACUGGAAAGUGUGUUUGGCAUAAU
Molecule: non-coding RNA, 969 nt
Filed under: Callosciurus erythraeus (Pallas's squirrel)
Lineage: Eukaryota; Metazoa; Chordata; Mammalia; Rodentia; Sciuridae
Description: 12S ribosomal RNA
Rfam family: Bacterial small subunit ribosomal RNA
Source: RNAcentral